AGCUUUUUGAAUCCGUGCGCAGAUUUCGUCAGACACCAACCCAUUAGGGGUUAUCAGACUUCCAAGAUAAGUGGAGCU
This is a non-coding RNA of Schistosoma rodhaini, 78 nucleotides long. NCBI's taxonomy places the organism in Eukaryota, Metazoa, Platyhelminthes, Trematoda, Strigeidida, Schistosomatidae. The record is from Rfam.